Mastomys coucha (southern multimammate mouse) is the source of this 104-nucleotide small nuclear RNA. NCBI's taxonomy places the organism in Eukaryota, Metazoa, Chordata, Mammalia, Rodentia, Muridae. The record is from RefSeq and is a predicted model, not a curated record.
GUGCUCACUUCAGUGGUACACAUACUAAAAUUGGAAUAAUACAGAGAUUAGCAUGGCCCUUACAAAAGGUUGAUACACAGGCUGGUAAUAUGUUUCUCUCUCUC